UACGUAGGGGGCUAGCGUUGUCCGGAAUCAUUGGGCGUAAAGAGCGUGUAGGCGGCCUGGUAGGUCUGCUGUGAAAACUCGAGGCUCAACCUCGAGAUGUCGGCGGAAACCAUCUGGCUAGAGUCCGGAAGAGGAGAGUGGAAUUCCUGGUGUAGCGGUGAAAUGCGCAGAUAUCAGGAAGAACACCUAUGGCGAAGGCAGCUCUCUGGGACGGUACUGACGCUGAGACGCGAAAGCGUGGGGAGCGAACAGG
This 253-nucleotide ribosomal RNA is filed under the name uncultured bacterium. RNAcentral describes it as "partial 16S ribosomal RNA". It matches the Rfam family "Bacterial small subunit ribosomal RNA", at positions 524 to 776 of the family's 1533-position model. The record is from RNAcentral.